UGAUGACGAGACGCCAAGGCGUUGAAGUAGUGUAUGUCAGGCUUCCAAGAAAAGCUCGCAAUGUUGUAAGUAAAAAAUGCCUGUACCAUAACCGACACAGGUGGGUAGGUAGAGUAUACUAAGGGGCGCGAGAUAACUCUCUCUAAGGAACUCGGCAAAAUGACUCCGUAACUUCGGGAGAAGGAGUGCCUUAUUCUAUAAGGUUGCAAUAACAAGAUCCAAGCAACUGUUUAUCAAAAACACAGGUCUCCGCUAAGUCGUAAGACGAAGUAUGGGGGCUGACGCCUGCCCAGUGCCAGAAGGUUAAAGAAGUUGGUUAGUGUAAACGAAGCUGAUAACUGAAGCCCUGGUGAACGGCGGCCGUAACGAUAACGGUCCUAAGGUAGCGAAAUUCCUUGUCGGGUAAGUUCCGACCCGCACGAAAGGCGUAAUGAUUUGGAUACUGUCUCGGAGAGAGGCUCGGUGAAAUAGACUUGUCUGUGGAGAUGCGGACUACCUGCACCAGGACAGAAAGACCCUAUGAAGCUUUACUGUAACUUGAAAUUGGAAUUGGACUUUAUUCGCGCAGCAUAGGUGGGAGACAUUGAAGAUAUUCUUGCGGGAGUAUCGGAGUCAUUAGUGAGAUACCACUCUUGUAAUGUUAGAUUUCUAACUUUGAACCAUUAUCUGGUCAAAGAACAGUUUCAGGCGGGCAGUUUGACUGGGGCGGUCGCCUCCCAAAUGGUAACGGAGGCGUACAAAGGUUUCCUCUGAACGGGUAGAAAUCGUAUCUAGAGUGUAAAGGCAUAAGGAAGCUUGACUGUGAGACCUACAAGUCGAGCAGGGACGAAAGUCGGUCUUAGUGAUCUGACGGUACUGAGUGGAAAGGCCGUCACUCAACGGAUAAAAGUUACUCUAGGAUAACAGGCUGAUCUCCCCCAAGAGUUCACAUCGACGGGGAGGUUUGGCACCUCGAUGUCGGCCCAUCGCAUCCUGGGGCGGUAGUACGUCCCAAGGGUUGGGCUGUUCGCCCAUGAAAGCGGUACGCGAGCUGGGUUCAGAACGUCGUGAGACAGUUCGGUCCAUAUCCGGUGUAGGCGUUAGAAUAUUGAGAGGAGCCUUCUUUAGUACGAGAGGACCGAGAAGGACAUACCGCUGGUGUACCAGUUAUCGUGCCAACGGUAAACGCUGGGUAGCUAUGUAUGGAGUGGAUAACCGCUGAAAGCAUCUAAGUGGGAAGCCCACCUCAAGAUGAGUAUUCUCAUC
This 1245-nucleotide ribosomal RNA is filed under the name metagenome. RNAcentral describes it as "bacterial LSU rRNA". It matches the Rfam family "Bacterial large subunit ribosomal RNA", at positions 1564 to 2818 of the family's 2925-position model. The record is from RNAcentral.